This 413-nucleotide small RNA is filed under the name Histoplasma capsulatum. Its description in RNAcentral is "hypothetical RNA". The record is from RNAcentral. RNAcentral also lists the same sequence under 1 other name. Lineage: Eukaryota; Fungi; Ascomycota; Eurotiomycetes; Onygenales; Ajellomycetaceae.
CCUCCAGAAGCAGAUAAAAUGACGCUGAAAUAUUAGAAAGUAUAUAAAAAAAAAUUCUCCUUUGCUUCAUCUGUUCGAAUUUUCCCAUAUUAAAUAUAUGCCUUAGCUACAAGAAACUAAUUAAGUUAUCACUAAGAUUUAGCCCCAGCACCCACUCGGAAGAUAGUAAUCUGUCGGAACGAUGGGAUGUCCAAAUAUUGACCCAAAUCCUGAAUAUCAAAAGAAUGUUUAAUUGACUCUGAUAAGUCUGAUAAUUACAUGAUAAAAUGCAGUAUUUAUAAGGAAAGGAAUGCUCGAUUAUAAAGCGAGACAGUGCUCAGGUUUCAAGAAUCAAGAGCAGAUAAUAUAAAAUCUCCGAUAUACGAGAUAUUACGAGAUACUACGAGAUAUUAUCUCCGACAGUAUCCUCUUGG